CCUACCGCAAACACCCUGCCGGUGGACUCGACUUCGCGAGUGCAUAAGUUUGAAAAAAGUUUCACCAAGAGUAACCGUAGGGUUUGAUGACGUCGUCGGUGACGUACAAGAUGCACUGGAGUGAUGUCAAAAGUGGAAAUUACUCUGGAUAUUCGCAAUCGGCUCAGUUGCCCGAGAGGUGCGAUCGUGAACACAUCUAAGAUAUAUUAUGAAUUUUGUGUUAAGUGCGGUACGAAUAUAUUAUUAUUUUUAUGGAAUUAAAACAAUAAGUUAAGUUAGUUAAUACGAAUUAUAAUAUAAUGAGAUUUUUAAAAUUGUAAAUGAAUAAUAAUAGUUCCUGGCAAUGAAAAGAUUAAUUGAAAGUGUAUUCACCAAAGUGCCCAUAUCUUCUCUGAACGCCUUUGUCUUGAUGCGAAGGCUGUAUAAAUUUGGCAAGGACAAGGCAGUCUGUAUUGGGUAAGGUCAGGGAACGGAGAGUCUGCGGUGGCGGGAGGAGUGAUGGAUGGGCGGGGGGUGUGGAGGGGGGCGAAGGCCAUCUACAGAGGUUACUCUCGGUCAUUCGCGCGUGACGUCAUCAGUCACAACCAAACCCGUGACGUCACUGGUCGAUUUCACACAUUUGAAACUACCCCCUGUAACUCCACUCCCAUCUUAUAUAUGGUGUAUGUGCUUUAAAAUAAUUCUGACAUUUAAAAAAAUCUAUAGUACAAGGUUUAAUUGUUGAUAUAAAUUUACAGAUUUUUUUUCCAAUCUAAGAAGUGAAUAAGAACAUUUUUAAAAUUAUAAAAAAAGAGGGCCAUUAAAUUCUGGAACUGCAGGUUAGAUUCACUCAAAGGCCGGCACAUUUUGCUGCAAUUUGCAUUGUAAAUAAACAGUAUCAACAAUCUGA
Long non-coding RNA from Macrosteles quadrilineatus (aster leafhopper), 889 nucleotides. RefSeq lists it as uncharacterized. Lineage: Eukaryota; Metazoa; Arthropoda; Insecta; Hemiptera; Cicadellidae. The transcript is spliced from 2 exons. The record is from RefSeq and is a predicted model, not a curated record.